This 705-nucleotide ribosomal RNA is filed under the name Maribacter sp. SRO_29. RNAcentral's name for it is "bacterial SSU rRNA". It matches the Rfam family "Bacterial small subunit ribosomal RNA", at positions 122 to 823 of the family's 1533-position model. Lineage: Bacteria; Pseudomonadati; Bacteroidota; Flavobacteriia; Flavobacteriales; Flavobacteriaceae. The record is from RNAcentral.
GAACCUACCUUGUACAGGGGAAUAGCCCAGGGAAACUUGGAUUAAUGCCCCGUAGUACCGUGACCCGGCAUCGGGAUACGGUUAAAGCCUUCGGGCGGUAUAAGAUGGCCAUGCGUCCCAUUAGCUUGUUGGUAAGGUAACGGCUUACCAAGGCUACGAUGGGUAGGGGCCCUGAGAGGGGGAUCCCCCACACUGGUACUGAGACACGGACCAGACUCCUACGGGAGGCAGCAGUGAGGAAUAUUGGACAAUGGAGGAGACUCUGAUCCAGCCAUGCCGCGUGCAGGAAGAAUGCCCUAUGGGUAGUAAACUGCUUUUAUACGGGAAGAAAAAAGAGUACGUGUACUCUACUGACGGUACCGUAAGAAUAAGGACCGGCUAACUCCGUGCCAGCAGCCGCGGUAAUACGGAGGGUCCGAGCGUUAUCCGGAAUUAUUGGGUUUAAAGGGUCCGUAGGCGGGCCGAUAAGUCAGGGGUGAAAGUUUGCAGCUCAACUGUAAAAUUGCCUUUGAUACUGUUGGUCUUGAGUUAUAGUGAAGUUGCCGGAAUAUGUAGUGUAGCGGUGAAAUGCAUAGAUAUUACAUAGAACACCGAUUGCGAAGGCAGGUGACUAACUAUAUACUGACGCUGAUGGACGAAAGCGUGGGGAGCGAACAGGAUUAGAUACCCUGGUAGUCCACGCCGUAAACGAUGGAUACUAGCUGU